RNAcentral lists this ribosomal RNA (253 nucleotides) under uncultured bacterium. RNAcentral describes it as "partial 16S ribosomal RNA". It matches the Rfam family "Bacterial small subunit ribosomal RNA", at positions 524 to 776 of the family's 1533-position model. The record is from RNAcentral.
UACGAAGGGGGCUAGCGUUGCUCGGAAUCACUGGGCGUAAAGGGUGCGUAGGCGGGUCUUUAAGUCAGAGGUGAAAUCCUGGAGCUCAACUCCAGAACUGCCUUUGAUACUGAGGAUCUUGAGUUCGGGAGAGGUGAGUGGAACUGCGAGUGUAGAGGUGAAAUUCGUAGAUAUUCGCAAGAACACCAGUGGCGAGGGCGGCUCACUGGCCCGAUACUGACGCUGAGGCACGAAAGCGUGGGGAGCAAACAGG